Molecule: ribosomal RNA, 1155 nt
Filed under: Durinskia baltica
Lineage: Eukaryota; Dinophyceae; Peridiniales; Kryptoperidiniaceae
Description: partial Bacterial large subunit ribosomal RNA
Rfam family: Bacterial large subunit ribosomal RNA
Source: RNAcentral
UACUAAGGGCGCACGGUGGAUGCCUUGGCAGAAACAGGCGAUGAAGGACGUGGCAAGCUGCGAUAAGCUUCGGGAAGCCGCACACAGGCGUUGAUCCGGAGAUUUCCGAAUGGGGAAACCCACCAUGGUGAUCCCAUGGUAUGUCCUACUGAAUACAUAGGUAGGAACAGGCGAACGGAGGGAAGUGAACCAUCUCAGUACCUCCAGGAGUAGAAAGAAACCUCGAUUCCGAGAGUAGUGGCGAGCGAAAUCGGACAUAGCCCAAACCCGUGAUAUUUCGGUAUCUCGGGGGUUGUAGGGCCUGCACUAGUAGAGUUACCAAUCCAGUCGAUAGCUGAAGACCGUUGGAAAGCGGUCCCAAAGAGCGUGACAGGCGCGUAGGCGAAAUUGAUCUGGACUCGAAGCAGGUACCUGAGUAAGGCGGGGCACGAGAAACCCUGCUUGAAUCCACGGGGACCAUCCCGUAAGGCUAAAUACUCGUUUCUGACCGAUAGUGAACCAGUACCGUGAGGGAAAGGCGAAAAGAACCCCUGUGAGGGGAGUGAAAUAGAUCCUGAAACCGUAUGCGUACAAGCAGUCGGAGCGGACUUGUUCCGUGACGGCGUACCUUUUGUAUAAUGGGUCAGCGACUUAUGUUCAGUGGCGAGGUUAACCGUUUAGGGGAGCCGUAGGGAAACCGAGUCUGAAUAGGGCGAUUUAGUCGCUGGGCAUAGACCCGAAACCGGGCGAUCUAUCCAUGAGCAGGUUGAAGGUUGAGUAACAUCAACUGGAGGACCGAACCCACUGUCUUUGAAAAGCCAGGGGAUGACUUGUGGAUCGGAGUGAAAGGCUAAUCAAGCCCGGAGAUAGCUGGUUCUCCCCGAAAGCUAUUUAGGUAGCGCCUCGUAUAUCACCACCGGGGGUAGAGCACUGUUUCGGCUAGGGGCCCAUCCCGGGUUACCAAACCGAUGCAAACUCCGAAUACCGGUGAGUGCAGUACGGGAGACACACGGCGGGUGCUAACGUCCGUCGUGGAGAGGGAAACAACCCAGACCGCCAGCUAAGGUCCCCAAAUUCCAGUUAAGUGGGAAACGAUGUGGGAAGGCUUAGACAGCUAGGAGGUUGGCUUAGAAGCAGCCACCCUUUAAAGAAAGCGUAAUAGCUCACUAGUCGAGU